RNAcentral lists this long non-coding RNA (522 nucleotides) under Phoenix dactylifera (date palm). RNAcentral describes it as "long non-coding RNA (PDAC_LNC022596)". The record is from RNAcentral. Lineage: Eukaryota; Viridiplantae; Streptophyta; Magnoliopsida; Arecales; Arecaceae.
UAGCUUGGUGACAGUUAUUAUAAGCGAACUCCACCAAAGGUAUAUGUUCAUCCCAUGAGCCUUUCAUAUCAAGAAUAGAUGCUCUCAACAUAUCCUCUAAGAUUUGAGUACUUUUUGAGCAUCGGUCUAUGGAAGGCAAUACUGAAGUUUAGCAGUCCCUAAGGUUCUGUGCAAACUCUUCCAAAAUUGCGAUACAAUCUGAUGUCCCUAUCGCCAUGGUUACAUGAAUUUUGUGCACAGACUUCGUUGGUCUAUCCACAAUCACCCAAAUUGCAUCAUUUGCACUAGGAGUCUUGGAUAACUCCAAAUACAAAAUUAGUAGUAAUAUGUUCCCACUCACACUGGAAUAUCAAGAGGUUGAAACAGUCCUGCUGGCCUCUGAUGCUCAUCUUUUACUUGCUGACAAAUCAAACAUUGAGCCACAGAUUGAACAAUCUCCUUUUCCUGUUGUCCACUAGAAGAACUUCAAAAUCUUUAUACAUUUUAGUACCUUGAGGAUGUAUUGUAUUUCCUCUUUAAUCG